GGAAUUCAUGGCGAACAGAAAUCUGGUAGCUCCUGUGCUUCAGAAGCAGUUCUAUAGUUUUUACAAAUACCCACUCAUCCAACUCUCAUGUUAAUCCCACGGCGAAAACCAAUUCUUAAUAGUCCCACUUUAAGGCCGAAGAAACUGGAAUCCUGAAAGGUGGAGCUAUCCAAAAUCUUUUCUCUGAUGAGAAAGAAGAAAGCCAGAUCAUCCUCCAGGUGUCAGGAUGAAGCUCUGGAUGGACCAUUGCCUCCUGACCCUUUCAGCAUCUCACCGUUCCGGACUUGGGAGGUAUGGCUGUUCAGGAGCCAGCCUGACUCUCCUGGGAACCUGUGCUCCGGAGAGGCUGAGGGCCACACACGCACAGACCACAGUCAGGCCGCAUGCGGGGUGACAGUCGGUGGGACAAAGGAAAACAAAAGCAUGUUGGAGGGCAGCAAGGUGUGGAUGUUUUUUUUUUUUUUCUUUAGAAAGUUCAGGCAGGAAAGGUCCCUCUGAGAAACAGCAUUAUAUCAGGGUCUUAUCUGUCGUGGGACUCUGUGUGAUGCUGCAGGCAGAGAAAGCGUGUAAUACAAAACCCCGGGAUGGGGGUGGGCUCAGUGCUUUGAGAAGUAGCACAGAAGACAGUGUGGUCACCUGCAUGCCUUGUGCUCUCCACUGUGACUACUUAUCUCUGACACCGUAGAAGAGAAGCAGCACAGACAGAUAUAAACAAACGGCAUAGCUGUGUUCCAAUAAACAUGUAUUUGAAAAGCAGACAGUGGGCUGGAUUCGGUCAGUGUCAGUCCC
RNAcentral lists this long non-coding RNA (789 nucleotides) under Fukomys damarensis (Damara mole-rat). RNAcentral's name for it is "lncRNA (ENSFDAG00000031390.1)". Lineage: Eukaryota; Metazoa; Chordata; Mammalia; Rodentia; Bathyergidae. The record is from RNAcentral.